Molecule: ribosomal RNA, 496 nt
Filed under: uncultured bacterium
Lineage: Bacteria
Description: partial 16S ribosomal RNA
Rfam family: Bacterial small subunit ribosomal RNA
Source: RNAcentral
GACGAACGCUGGCGGCGUGCCUAAUACAUGCAAGUUGAGCGCUGAAGGUUGGUACUUGUACCAACUGGAUGAGCAGCGAACGGGUGAGUAACGCGUGGGGAAUCUGCCUUUGAGCGGGGGACAACAUUUGGAAACGAAUGCUAAUACCGCAUAAAAACUUUAAACACAAGUUUUAAGUUUGAAAGAUGCAAUUGCACCACUCAAAGAUGAUCCCGCGUUGUAUUAGCUAGUUGGUGAGGUAAGGCUCACCAAGGCGAUGAUACAUAGCCGACCUGAGAGGGUGAUCGGCCACAUUGGGACUGAGACACGGCCCAAACUCCUACGGGAGGCAGCAGUAGGGAAUCUUCGGCAAUGGACGAAAGUCUGACCGAGCAACGCCGCGUGAGUGAAGAAGGUUUUCGGAUCGUAAAACUCUGUUGGUAGAGAAGAACGUUGGUGAGAGUGGAAAGCUCAUCAAGUGACGGUAACUACCCAGAAAGGGACGGCUAACUACGUG